Molecule: ribosomal RNA, 99 nt
Filed under: uncultured bacterium
Lineage: Bacteria
Description: partial 16S ribosomal RNA
Rfam family: Bacterial small subunit ribosomal RNA
Source: RNAcentral
CACACCGCCCGUCACACCAUGGGAGUUGGAUUCACCCGAAGGCGUUGCGCUAACUCGCAAGAGAGGCAGGCGACCGCGGUGGGUUUAGCGACUGGGGUG